Molecule: long non-coding RNA, 1053 nt
Filed under: Prunus persica (peach)
Lineage: Eukaryota; Viridiplantae; Streptophyta; Magnoliopsida; Rosales; Rosaceae
Description: long non-coding RNA (PPER_LNC006771)
Source: RNAcentral
AGAGGUGUUAGAGCCUUGGAAUCUGCCACUAGUCUUCCUAUCCAAGUUAUGAAUGCAUAGAAAUUGACUCAAGCUUCAUCAACAAUAGAUUAUCGCAUACAAGCCUAUGGUAUCUAGGUGCAGGAUGCAUCAUUCUCCUAAGGCAUGUGAUUGUGCAUGGUAUCUACACAGCACGUGAUCUCUAAUAUGCAACCUAAGCAUGGUAUCUACUUAGAAUAAAGCAUACAAGAGUCAUUAAGCUCCUUGAGAAUAUGAUAAUCACACAAGUCCUAGAACAUGGUAUCUGUCCUAGUCAACCUAUGGUUGUUAACCCCUUGAAUGAUUCUUAGGCCAUUCAUGUGUUGCUUGUGAAAGGAGAGUAGAAUUGGUGAAUCUAAACCCCUUCCCAACCUGUGCUAGAUGCAUAAAAUCCUAGUUAGCUACUCCAAGAAAACAUACAUCAAGCACAUAAUAAACUGGAGAUUAACAACUUGAUAAUAAAAGCAAGGAAAUCAAUUAACUAAAUCAUCCAUAACAUUGAAUAUUCAUGACUAGGGCUUCAUCCUAAGCCCUAACUAAAUGGAUUAGUUAGACAUAACUAUGAACACAGAAAAUAAGAAAUACAUAGAUAGGAUAAAGAGAGGAGAAGAACUAGAUGAUGGCAGCAAGGAAGUUCCCAGGACAGCUCCAAGCUCCCUUGACAGCUCCAAGCUCCCUUCUCUCUUUGUGGUGAAUCUGAAUGUGUGUAUGAGAGUAAUGGAUGAAGUGAAUGUGUGUGUCUGCCCUCCCUCUUUGAAUGAGUGUGCAACUCUCUAUUUAUAGAGUGCAAUUUCGUGCUCCCCUUUGGCUGGUGAAACACACCUCUCUUAGCUGCUCCCAAUUGCCUAAGCUGCCCAAUAAAUGCCAACUUUUCCAGCUGCCCAAUAAAUGCUUUGGUGGACUUUUCUUGGUUUCUUUAUGGAAAGCUUGACUUUUGUUCAUCUUUUUGACUCCCAUACUGAUUUGUCUCCCAUGUGUAGCCUACCAGAAUUCCUGGAAAAUGGUCCUUGAUUUGUGCAGACAAGAUCCCCAUAA